RNAcentral lists this ribosomal RNA (238 nucleotides) under uncultured bacterium. RNAcentral describes it as "partial 16S ribosomal RNA". It matches the Rfam family "Bacterial small subunit ribosomal RNA", at positions 96 to 334 of the family's 1533-position model. The record is from RNAcentral.
CGGCGGACGGGUGAGUAACGCGUGGGUAACCUACCCUGUACACACGGAUAACAUACCGAAAGGUAUGCUAAUACGGGAUAAUAUAUUUGAGAGGCAUCUCUUAAAUAUCAAAGGUGAGCCAGUACAGGAUGGACCCGCGUCUGAUUAGCUAGUUGGUAAGGUAACGGCUUACCAAGGCGACGAUCAGUAGCCGACCUGAGAGGGUGAUCGGCCACAUUGGAACUGAGACACAGUCCAA